RNAcentral lists this ribosomal RNA (1348 nucleotides) under metagenome. Its description in RNAcentral is "bacterial LSU rRNA". It matches the Rfam family "Bacterial large subunit ribosomal RNA", at positions 1564 to 2925 of the family's 2925-position model. The record is from RNAcentral.
UGAGUACGAGCUGCUACGGCAGCGAAGUGGGUGAUGUCAAGCUUCCAAGAAAAGCCCUAUACCCGUUAAGGCAUGACGGCCUGUACCCGAAACCGACACAGGUGGGGUGGUAGAGAAUACCGAGGGGCGCGAGAUAACUCUCUCUAAGGAACUCGGCAGAAUGGCCCCGUAACUUCGGGAGAAGGGGUGCCACCGCAAGGUGGUCGCAGUGAAGAGGCCCAGGCGACUGUUUACCAAAAACACAGGUCUCCGCUAAGUCGCAAGACGAUGUAUGGGGGCUGACGCCUGCCCAGUGCCGGAAGGUUAAGGAAGCUGGUCAGCGCAAGCGAAGCUAGCGACUGAAGCCCCGGUGAACGGCGGCCGUAACUAUAACGGUCCUAAGGUAGCGAAAUUCCUUGUCGGGUAAGUACCGACUCGCACGAAAGGCGUAACGAUCUGGGCGCUGUCUCGGAGAGAGGCUCGGCGAAAUAGAAUUGUCUGUGAAGAUGCGGACUACGUGCACCCGGACAGAAAGACCCUAUGAAGCUUUACUGUAGCUUGGUAUUGUGCCCGGGCUCUGAAUGCGCAGGAUAGGUGGGAGGCUUUGAUCCAUUGCUUGUGGGUAAUGGUGAGCCACUGGUGAGAUACCACUCUUUCAGAGCUAGGGUUCUAAUGGUCACCCGUUAUCCGGGGACCGGACAGUAUCAGGGGUGCAGUUUGACUGGGGCGGUCGCCUCCUAAAAGGUAACGGAGGCGCGCAAAGGUUCCCUCAGGCUGGUUGGAAAUCAGCCGACGAGUGUAAAGGCAGAAGGGAGCUUGACUGUGAGACCUACAAGUCGAACAGGGACGAAAGUCGGCCUUAGUGAUCCGACGGUUCUGAGUGGAAGGGCCGUCGCUCAACGGAUAAAAGUUACUCUAGGAUAACAGGCUGAUCUCCCCCAAGAGUUCACAUCGACGGGGAGGUUUGGCACCUCGAUGUCGGCUCAUCGCAACCUGGGGCUGAAGUCGGUCCCAAGGGUUGGGCUGUUCGCCCAUUAAAGCGGUACGCGAGCUGGGUUCAGAACGUCGCGAGACAGUUCGGUCCAUAUCCGGUGCACGCGCAGGAACAUUGAGAGGAUUUCUCCCUAGUACGAGAGGACCGGGAGGAACGCACCUCUGGUGUACCAGUUAUCGUGCCAACGGUAAACGCUGGGUAGCCAUGUGCGGAGCGGAUAACCGCUGAAAGCAUCUAAGUGGGAAGCCCACCUCAAGAUGAGUGUUCCCAUGGCAUAAGCCAGUAAGGUCACGGGAAGAACACCCGUUGAUAGGCUCUACGUGGAAGCGUGGCAACACGUGAAGCGGAGGAGUACUAAUAGACCGAGGGCUAGAC